Long non-coding RNA from Amphimedon queenslandica, 238 nucleotides. RefSeq lists it as uncharacterized. The record is from RefSeq and is a predicted model, not a curated record. The transcript is spliced from 2 exons. NCBI's taxonomy places the organism in Eukaryota, Metazoa, Porifera, Demospongiae, Haplosclerida, Niphatidae.
ACCUUAGAGCUAAAGUGUCUGAUAAUGAAUUGUAUACAACCAAACUAAUGAAGGAGAAGUCACAACUACGGGAGAGAGUCACAUCCUUAGAGGAACAAUCCAUCAAAGAGACUAGUUCUAUUGGACUACAAUUUAAUUACCUGAUCCCUUCAAUGGAUUCACUAGACUCUAGUGUCAUUAUAGCUGGACAUAAGCUCUUUGUCCUACAAGGAGACAGGUCUGACUCACUCCAGUGGGA